AAAAUAAAGGUGCAUGAUGCUUGUUCAGCCAUGCUACCCCGAAGGUUUCCGGACGAUGGUGGUCCUGAUUGACCAGUUGGUGAGGCGCUCCCCUUAGUUCACAGCUUGAAUGGAAGGGCCUUCCUCCCCUUCCUCUUCAAAGAUCACACAACAGUCCAUGUCCUCUAGAAACAUGUUCUUCCGACCCGUAGAGAGUGUUGAAUGGCUGAAAUGUCUGCACCAAGUGAGGUAUGGGGCAUUCCAAUGGAUUAUAUGGGCCUUGCCAUGGUGGUGACCAGUUUCUGAAUUCUUGCAAAGUGUACUCGUAUCUCAGUCCGAAGGUAGUACCAUUUUUCUUCAUCUGUAUAGGUUUGGUGAUACCUUGAAGAUUCUUACCAAGUCCUUUCCCCGGUUCAUACCUACUCCAAUUAAGAAUGCUCUCAACCUUGUUUCUCCACUAUUUGUCCUUAUCCACCAUUAUGAAUCUAGAACAU
Molecule: long non-coding RNA, 473 nt
Filed under: Nicotiana benthamiana
Lineage: Eukaryota; Viridiplantae; Streptophyta; Magnoliopsida; Solanales; Solanaceae
Description: long non-coding RNA (NBEN_LNC013115)
Source: RNAcentral